AAAAAAGAAAGAAAGAGAGAGGAGGAAAGAGAAGAGGAAAGGGAAAGGAGGAAAGAGGAUAAGAAAAGGAAAGGAGGAAAGAGAGAAGAAAAGGAAAGAAGGAAAGAGAGAAGAAAGAGAAAGGAGGAAAGAAAAGAGGAAAGAGAGUCAGGCAGAGAAGAGGAAGAGAAGGAAGAAAUAGGGUGAGUGAGCAGAGAGAAAAUUCAGUGAGCCUUACAUAUUGUAAACACUAAAGUUGUAGCCCUAUUAUUUUACAUAGUGGAAAAGUUACUACUGCUGCUCUUCGGGGACGUAGGCAUAGCCGAACCUCGUUAAAUACUGUGUCUCAUCUACUUUACGUGCAGCUCAAUAUUCGCACAUAUUCCAGGUCAUUUUAUAACACGUUAUCAGCACGAGAAGCUCUCAGGUAUAAUUUUUGUGCUGCACUAUUAUUUAUACUACUAACCAUUAUGUUGAUGUAAAGAAGAAAAGCCAACGCAUCUAGCUUUCCACUAAUAUAUCAGUAUAAUAUAUAUAUAUAUAUAUUAUAUAUAUGAAAAGUUGAUGGUAAUAUAAUAUACUAUAUUUAUCUGCUUUUCUAUUACUAACCAUUAACAAAAAUGGACCCUUGGUAAUACUAAACAUAUUAUCAGUGGGAGACCGUUACUAAUACUAACACUUUCCUUAUCUUGUUCAGUGGUGGUUUUUAUUCCCACAUUUAUUUUAUUUACUGUAUGGUGUAGGUUUAUUACCCAUACAACAGUAUUUAUUUAAAAGGGUGGUGCGGGUUUAUCGCCCACGCCUUUGCUUUUAUUUAAAUGUAUGGAGCAGAAUUAGUGUCCAUACAAGCACGUUUACUUUAUCGCAAAUUUACUUUUACUUAAAGUAUUAUUUAUGGUAUGGUGUAGGUUUAUUACUCAUACGGCAAUAUUUAUUUAAAGGGUGGUGCGGGUUUAUCGUCCACGCCUUUGCUUUUAUUUAAAUGUAUGGAGCAGAAUUAGUGCCCAUACAAGCACGUUUACUUUACCGCACAUUUAAUUUUAUUUAAGGUAUGGUGCAGGAUUAACGUCCAUACAGCAAGCAAUUUAAUUUAUGAAUUUAAUUUACUGCACAUUUACAUUUAUUUAAAAGGGUGGUGCGGGUUUAUCGUCCACGCCUUUACUUUUAUUUAAAUGUAUGGUGCGGGUUUAUCGUCCAUACUAGUAAUUUAUUUACCAGCAAUUUAUUUUAUGGAUUAAUUGUGCUGUAUGAUGAGUUUUUACAGUAUGCAGAUCAGGACCAGAAGUUCCUUGAUCCUCAUCAUACAAUUACAUCAGGACUUGAAGAUCCUUGAUGAUGAUAUUAAUAUGAGAGCUGGCAGUCUCUCCGGUACUGUAUUUGUAAACAUGUGAUUGAAAUUAAGGGUCCUUGAUCCCUGACAUGUAAAUAAGGACCUAGAGUUCCUUAAUGAUGUAACAGUACCGUAUUGGUUCAUAGUGCCGUACACAUUGAUGAUAACUGUACUGGCAGAUGAAUAGAUACGUAUUCAUGACUUGAUGAAUAAUACUAUUCACAUGAAUAGUGACGUAUGUAUAAAUAUGAACCAUUUUGGGUAAACCAUCACUAUAUACAAAAGAGAACCUGCAGUUUCAUGGUGCCGUACACAUUGAUGAUAACUGUACUGGCAGAUGAAUAGAUACGUAUUCAUGACUUGAUGAAUAGUACUAUUCACAUAAAUAGUGACGUAUGCAUAAAUAUGAACCAUUUUGGGUAAACCGUCACUAUAUACAAAAGGGAACCUGCAGUUCCUUAAACUCAUGGAUGAACAAUUAAAUGAGAUGCCAGAAGUUCCUCAAAAUAUGGACAAUUAUGUAAGGGCUUGAAGUCCCGAAAUAUGUACAGAAAAUUGUAAAAAUGUCCAUACCAUGAGAAUAUGUGGCUUUGGCCUGAAGUUCAAAAUUUAACAGUGUUGAGAACCUGAAGUUCCAACAAUUAAAUGGACAACCCUUGAGGUAUUAUUGCAAAUUGUGGUAUGCCACAUAUUUCUUUGGCAUAAGAAGAUGAUGAAUUUAAAGUUCGAUUUUGUUAUAAUCGACACCUCAAGGAAGAAAUAUAUUUUGUGAAUUCCGGUUGUUAAGAAUACACCGCGAAAUGAAUAAUAUCAAUAUAAACCUCAAAUAAUGAAUUGAGGCUCCCCACAUAUUUUGUUAUAUCUGGGCCGGAAGCCCAUGGAUCCAAAUAUAUGAGAGAUCCUAAACUUGAAGUUGUGGGUAUAUAGUAGUUAAUGCUCUUCACUACUAUAUUGCGAUAUUAUUAUGGCUUUUACUCAAUUCACAUUUCAUGUCCAUUUGAAAAUGGCAAAUAAAUUCUGAGUUUGUGCUCAGGCCAAAAGUUCCGGGCUACCAUGCAAUUUGGGAGAGACAAUGUGGUUAUUUGAACCUAUAAGGCACAAGGUUCCAAACCGUCAUUUUGAAAAGACGUAAAAACCACAGGUGCAAGUUUAAGAAUGUGCGCAAUUAUUAUUACAGGAACAUACAACAGAUAGAUUUUUUUUCCACCUGCAAUGAAGGUGCAAGCCCUGUAAAAUCUAUAAAAUUACAUUAUGUUCUGGAAGCCUCUGAAGGAAGAGUACGGCGCCUCUUAAGCUUGGCCAUGAGCUUCUCGUGGUCUCCCAAAAUUCUUUCAUUGGAGACCUGCAGCAUGUCUAGCCUUCUCAGUGUAUCAACGGAGUACGAACUCACCAGUUUCAACAAGGAAUUAUUCUCUCCUUUAAGUUUCUCAACCUCCUGUUGAGACUCAUGAAGCAUUCUUUGAAGAGACGAAUUUUCAGUUGUCAACUUCUCAACCUCGUUUGCUCUAGCACGCAAACGAUCAGCCAUGUUAGAAACAGAAGCAGCACUCUGAAUGCUAAAAGCCAUUGAGUCAUCAAUAGCCUCUUCCUCAGACCUCCCUGUUAACAGCAUUUCAUCCAUUGGAGUAAUGAAAUUCCUAGCUACUAUGACAGCAGUAGCAUCAUUUAUCAUCACAGAAUCAUUAACUGUGAGAUGACGAUUUUGGGAUACAAAGGAUGGACGCCAAACUUGGGCAUCAUUGGUAGUUGUGGGAGCAUCAUUUAAAUUGAAAUAAUUUGGGCAGGAAGAAGAGGAAGCCAUUUUUAAGAAGGUUUCGAAGAAAGUCUUAGGAAAACUAAAGUUUCAGAAAAUGAAGAAAUUCAAGUUGAAACGCAGUUGCUCCAAUCAAGUUUUGCAAAGGCCAUAUCUAUAGGAGGAAAUAUGGCUACAGUUUCUAGGAUCCCAAUAUUAUCUCAGAUUCCCAUAUUAUCUUUUUCUUUCCCAGAGUCCAAAACUUCAUGUGGCCUCUAAUAAUGCCUGUCGGCACUUUCGGCGUUUUCAAGUAUUAUUUUCAAAGCCGAUCUUGCUUUACGGAUUUCACGGAGCUACUUUUUCAAAAGUAUCCCUAGAAUCUCGCAAUUUUCCUAUGGUUAAUUUGAAAUUCACCGAUUCUACCUAUUCAUUGUAUUUGUGUAUAAAUGUGUUACUAACGAAAUUUUCUUUGCAGAAGACAUCCAGUUUUCUCCAUACCUAGUGAUGCGAUAUCUACUUAUUUUUCUUAUCAGUGAGCAUUCAAUAUGCCCGAGAAGCAAGACUAUCUCUGAUCAUCCAUUCAGGAAGCGAGACUAUCCCUGAUCACGUUUCCGCCACAUCCAGGAACUGUGAAGGCGACCUUAUGCUCUAAUCUCCUGAGGUCCUUCUAUACUAGGAGAACUGAGAGCUUGUUGUUUGCUCCCACCAGCUUCCUUCCUUGAUUGCUUACCUUACCUUGCAAUCAAUAUCACAAUCUUUUUGCAUUUUUUCUCUUUUUAUAACUCUCUGUUCAUAAGAGAUUUUAUUUCUUUAGAAUGAACAUCUGAAGAAUAAAUCCAUGCAGUGAUCCUAACUCUGAGAGUUAUUUGUUUUUGACAGAGAAAAGAAUUGUGAUUUUUGCUCUUGCAGGAUAUAACAAGAUCAUCAAGCGAUACUUUAUAUUUACUGGGCCGAUAUGAGCUUGAAUGAUACUUGAGAAAAGUUUCUCCCACCUAAGGAUGUAAGCAAUACUUGUGUUAUUUUAUGCUUAUAUACCUAUUUGAUAUUUUAUCUUGAAAGGUAACCAAAUGGGGAGAUAAGUCCGUUCCAAAAGAAUGGCUUGUAUGUAUCCAUGAAUUAUUAACGCAAAUUUUACAGAUUGCAAGUUGGAUACAUUGAUAAUACACUGCACAGAUUAAAGUCUCAUAAGAACAGAAUAUGGGUAUAGCAGUGAUCAAUAUGAUGCACGCCUGUUGCGUAGCAAAUGAUAUGGAUUGAAGUCCCGAAAGGACAAUCCUUUGACAUGUCAAUAUUGAUAUUAUGCACGCCUAAUGCGUAGCAAAUUAUAUGGGUUAAAGUCCCAUAAUAUGGGUUAAAGUCCCAUAAAUUAAUUGACAUGUAUGUAUUAAUCUGUGGCAUGCCUACAGCAUGACAGAUAUAUGGGUUCUAAAUGUUCCAACUCCCUAAAUGGAGAUUAUCCACGCCCUACUAUAAAAUAACGCUCCAUUGGAGGUUAUAAUCCACAUUCUCACAUAAUAAAAGCCCCCUGAAGUGGCUUGGGUAUCCAAAAGCAAAGAAAUGCUUAUAAUUGAUGCAUGCACGUGCAAAUGAGAAUGGUGGGAUCAUGAAUUGAUGAAUGACAAUUUUUGAUCAUGAAUUGAUGAAUGACAAUUUUUGGUUUUGGAGUAGCUACUCAAAUCAUCAAUGGGCUGUGUUGAUUGGAACCACGUUCAAUUAUUAAAUGUCGACAAUAUUAUUGGCCAAAAUGGAACGAGGUAAUUCCAUUAUAAAUGAGAAUGAACGUGAAAGAACAAACCCACAGUACGAACCCCAAAUUUGUUAAUACUGAAAGUUAUACUUGGGUGUUCGGAAUAAAAGGGAAUAUACCUACUUUGUAUGACACACUGUUUCUGGCAGAAACAAGGAAUGUUGGGUUUUCUCCAUAUUUACAGAUUCAAUUGUGCCCCCCUUAUUACACAAUUACGGAGACCAACAUAUUAUCUUUAAGGGUUAUUAAAUGCACAGAGCAUAUCACCUGAAGUGAUUCCCUAAAGAUGUAUAAAUAGCUGGGUUAAAGCUAUAUAAUGUGUCAUAAAGUUUAAUCCCUUUUAAACAAAAUCCGUUGAGAGGAUUGACAUUGCAUAAAGCAAGUCCCUAAAGGACAUGUGCUUGAAGCACAAAAUUUGUACUCAAUAUUAAUAUGCAUAAAUUACCUCAGUGAGUACAUUGAUGUGAUUGCAACACAUUAAAGAUUCUGCAGAAUUCAAGAAAUAUUUGUCUCGACUUAAGGAUCGAGCAUUAUACCAACGAGAUUAUUGCUUAUACUAAGAAAGUAUUGAAGCAUUUUUAUGAGGAUUAUCCGUUGGACACUUUAAUGAUUUUCCGGAAGUAUAUUGGACCGGACAUCAUAUUUUCCAGAUAAGGCUCAACUCCAUCACCAUCAUUUUGGGAUGAUGUGAGGUAUAUUUGAUGCUAUCUCCGCAUAACAUCAUGUAUGGGCAUAUUCUUCCAUAUGAUCUUACAAAUAGCCCAGGUUUUGUUGGAAACGCGGACUCUGAAAAUUUCUAUGAUUUACAUAGAGAUAGCUCACUGGAAAUAUAUUUACUAUAUGAAUUGUUGGUGGCUACAUCAUUCACUCACUCCGAAAGAUUCUCACUCCAAAGAUAGUUAUGAAGACAUCAGGGGGAGAUAUUAAUCAGGGGGAGCAUCCAGAAGUAUGCUAUACAGAUUGUUGUACUCUUCUUUCCAUCAGUUCUCUACCUUACUAGGUUUUCUCCAAGCAAGUCUUUAAUGAUACAACCAACAUAUCAUUAGUGGUCUCCAAGGGAGAGUGUUGUAAAAGAAUAAACAUGUGGAGCCCACUAACUAUUCAUUACUAUUCAUUUGGAGACUUUUGGUAGAGUUUGUCUGUCACGGGUGAAUAGUGAAUAGUGAUGAAUAGUGAUUAUUUCAGCCUAUAAAUAAGAAGAGAAACGGAAGGAGAAGAGAAGAAAAAAGAGGAGGAAAAAAAGAAAGAAAGAGAGAGGAGGAAAGAGAAGAGGAAAGGGAAAGGAGGAAAGAGGAGAAGAAAAGGAAAGGAGGAAAGAGAGAAGAAAAGGAAAGAAGGAAAGAGAGAAGAAAGAGAAAGGAGGAAAGAAAAGAGGAAAGAGAGUCAGGCAGAGAAGAGGAAGAGAAGGAAGAAAUAGGGUGAGUGAGCAGAGAGAAAAUUCAGUGAGCCUUACAUAUUGUAAACACUAAAGUUGUAGCCCUAUUAUUUUACAUAGUGGAAAAGUUACUACUGCUGCUCUUCGGGGACGUAGGCAUAGCCGAACCUCGUUAAAUACUGUGUCUCAUCUACUUUACGUGCAGCUCAAUAUUCGCACAUAUUCCAGGUCAUUUUAUAACAAUCUUUUUAUUUUUGGGCAGUAGUGUUUUUUUUUUCUUUUUUUUUCAUCAUGAUUAUUUCAGGCGUGAAUCUUUAUUAAAUCCCGCUGUUCCUAACUUUUACGUUGGGUUUUGGAUGUCUGUAUAAAGCAUCUAUUCCAACAACAAAAAAUAUCAAUCCGUAUAAAAAAUAAAAAAUAAAAAAUAAAAAAAACCAACCGCUAUAUAUACCUUACCUAGCAACAUCAAUCUCUACCCUCAAACUAAAAAAUCCAACCAAAUCAAUAACUCAGUCACGUACGAUGCGUCUUCAAUGGGUUAUUGCAGUCCUUGUUCUGGUCGUUCCACUUGUGACUGCUGCUGCCCCAGAUGAAGUUCUUGAGACUUGG
RNAcentral lists this long non-coding RNA (6772 nucleotides) under Prunus persica (peach). RNAcentral's name for it is "long non-coding RNA (PPER_LNC006576)". The record is from RNAcentral. Lineage: Eukaryota; Viridiplantae; Streptophyta; Magnoliopsida; Rosales; Rosaceae.